GAUGCUGCGGCAGCUACACAUGCAAGUCGAGCGGUAGCACAGAGAGCUUGCUCUCGGGUGACGAGCGGCGGACGGGUGAGUAAUGUCUGGGAAACUGCCUGAUGGAGGGGGAUAACUACUGGAAACGGUAGCUAAUACCGCAUAAUGUCGCAAGACCAAAGUGGGGGACCUUCGGGCCUCAUGCCAUCAGAUGUGCCCAGAUGGGAUUAGCUAGUAGGUGGGGUAACGGCUCACCUAGGCGACGAUCCCUAGCUGGUCUGAGAGGAUGACCAGCCACACUGGAACUGAGACACGGUCCAGACUCCUACGGGAGGCAGCAGUGGGGAAUAUUGCACAAUGGGCGCAAGCCUGAUGCAGCCAUGCCGCGUGUGUGAAGAAGGCCUUCGGGUUGUAAAGCACUUUCAGCGGGGAGGAAGGCGUUAAGGUUAAUAACCUUGUCGAUUGACGUUACCCGCAGAAGAAGCACCGGCUAACUCCGUGCCAGCAGCCGCGGUAAUACGGAGGGUGCAAGCGUUAAUCGGAAUUACUGGGCGUAAAGCGCACGCAGGCGGUCUGUCAAGUCGGAUGUGAAAUCCCCGGGCUCAACCUGGGAACUGCAUUCGAAACUGGCAGGCUAGAGUCUUGUAGAGGGGGGUAGAAUUCCAGGUGUAGCGGUGAAAUGCGUAGAGAUCUGGAGGAAUACCGGUGGCGAAGGCGGCCCCCUGGACAAAGACUGACGCUCAGGUGCGAAAGCGUGGGGAGCAAACAGGAUUAGAUACCCUGGUAGUCCACGCCGUAAACGAUGUCGAUUUGGAGGUUGUGCCCUUGAGGCGUGGCUUCCGGAGCUAACGCGUUAAAUCGACCGCCUGGGGAGUACGGCCGCAAGGUUAAAACUCAAAUGAAUUGACGGGGGCCCGCACAAGCGGUGGAGCAUGUGGUUUAAUUCGAUGCAACGCGAAGAACCUUACCUGGUCUUGACAUCCACAGAACUUUCCAGAGAUGGAUUGGUGCCUUCGGGAACUGUGAGACAGGUGCUGCAUGGCUGUCGUCAGCUCGUGUUGUGAAAUGUUGGGUUAAGUCCCGCAACGAGCGCAACCCUUAUCCUUUGUUGCCAGCGGUUCGGCCGGGAACUCAAAGGAGACUGCCAGUGAUAAACUGGAGGAAGGUGGGGAUGACGUCAAGUCAUCAUGGCCCUUACGACCAGGGCUACACACGUGCUACAAUGGCAUAUACAAAGAGAAGCGACCUCGCGAGAGCAAGCGGACCUCAUAAAGUAUGUCGUAGUCCGGAUUGGAGUCUGCAACUCGACUCCAUGAAGUCGGAAUCGCUAGUAAUCGUAGAUCAGAAUGCUACGGUGAAUACGUUCCCGGGCCUUGUACACACCGCCCGUCACACCAUGGGAGUGGGUUGCAAAAGAAGUAGGUAGCUUAACCUUCGGGAGGGCGCUACCACUUGAUGCUUGCC
RNAcentral lists this ribosomal RNA (1443 nucleotides) under Klebsiella pneumoniae. Its description in RNAcentral is "bacterial SSU rRNA". It matches the Rfam family "Bacterial small subunit ribosomal RNA". The record is from RNAcentral. Lineage: Bacteria; Pseudomonadati; Pseudomonadota; Gammaproteobacteria; Enterobacterales; Enterobacteriaceae.